UACGUAGGCAGCGAGCGUUGUUCGGAGUUACUGGGCGUAAAGGGUGUGUAGGCGGUUGUUUAAGUUUGGUGUGAAAUCUCCCGGCUCAACUGGGAGGGUGCGCCGAAUACUGAAUGACUAGAGUGCGGGAGAGGAAAGUGGAAUUCCUGGUGUAGCGGUGAAAUGCGUAGAUAUCAGGAGGAACACCAGUGGCGAAGGCGACUACCUGGCCUGUUCUUGACGCUGAGGCGCGAAAGCUAGGGGAGCAAACGGG
Molecule: ribosomal RNA, 253 nt
Filed under: uncultured bacterium
Lineage: Bacteria
Description: partial 16S ribosomal RNA
Rfam family: Bacterial small subunit ribosomal RNA
Source: RNAcentral